UAUGGUUCUCAGGUGACACACCCCGGAAUUGGGCUCCCUCUUCUCUAGUUCUGGGUGCGUCACCCGAGAAGCUCA
This is a non-coding RNA of Myotis lucifugus (little brown bat), 75 nucleotides long. The record is from Rfam. Lineage: Eukaryota; Metazoa; Chordata; Mammalia; Chiroptera; Vespertilionidae.